Molecule: ribosomal RNA, 423 nt
Filed under: uncultured bacterium
Lineage: Bacteria
Description: bacterial SSU rRNA
Rfam family: Bacterial small subunit ribosomal RNA
Source: RNAcentral
AAGACCUUACGCUUUUGGAGCGGCCGAUGUCUGAUUAGCUUGUUGGUGAGGUAAAGGCUUACCAAGGCUUCGAUCAGUAGCUGGUCUGAGAGGACGACCAGCCACACUGGGACUGAGACACGGCCCAGACUCCUACGGGAGGCAGCAGUGGGGAAUUUUGGACAAUGGGGGCAACCCUGAUCCAGCCAUGCCGCGUGAGUGAAGAAGGCCUUCGGGUUGUAAAGCUCUUUCAGCCGGAACGAAACGGUUACGGUUAAUACCCGUGAUUACUGACGGUACCGGAAGAAGAAGCACCGGCUAACUACGUGCCAGCAGCCGCGGUAAUACGUAGGGUGCGAGCGUUAAUCGGAAUUACUGGGCGUAAAGCGUGCGCAGGUGGUUUUGUAAGUCAGAUGUGAAAUCCCCGGGCUUAACCUGGGAACU